GGGAUAAUAAUUCCUUUAUGGAGAAAUGUUAUUUAUUUGUUGAUAGUUUUUUUCACAGAAAUUUGUUGGAUUUACAGUGUCUUAGUCUAAGGAAAAAAAUAUUUUGUUAGUGAAAUAAAGUAUUACAAAACAUAUGGCCUGAUAGAUGUCUUUUUGGCAAAACUCUAUCAGAUUUGCAACAAUGUUUAUAUCUUAACACCUGACAGUGAAAUAAAAUGUACUAAAUGUUUUAGAAAAACAGGUAUAAUUUUGUUCCAUGUUUUCUAUUAUGGAAGGAUGAAUCUGAUCUAUUGGAUUUAAACUAAAACUCCAUCCAUCCAGAAAGACAAUUCAUUUUUGUUUGUUCUAAGUCAAACUAUUCUAAGUUUGAUCAAGUUUAUAGAGAAGGCCAAUAAUAUUUAGGAUGCCAAAUGAUCCUAAUUAGAUUCAUUAUGAAAUAUAUUUUCAUAAUAAGUGAUGUGUUAGAUGUUAAUACUCUUCUCUAUCAACUUUAUCAAACUUAGAAUAGUUUGACUUAGGACAAAUCAAAAUGCGUUAUGUUUCUAGACGGAGUUAGUAGUUACGAAAAUGACAUAUUUUAUGAGUGAUAAUAUAUCAAUAAAUAAAUAGAAUGACCCUUUUUAGUACUGUAUAGAGACUAAUGCUUGUUCGGGGAUUUGUUGGGGUUAUGUUGUUUUCCUGGUCUAGGUCAUUCAACGUUUUUUUUUCUCUUUGUGGUGAGGAAUCCUAAGUAUUGAAAAUUAAAUAAAAUUUGGAUGGCUAAUUAACGAAGUGGUUUAUAUACAUUCUUUCUCUCUUUUUUCUAGCACUUAUUAGACCACUCCAUUUUCUAGAUUGGUAUUCUAUCUUGUCCUACUUACACUUGAAGGCAGCACAUCUGUUAAUAUAUAUUUUUUACUUUAUUACAAUCAAGAAGGAUCCUGAUCCUCCAGUGCAAUGUGUUCAGCAAGCAACAAAAAUACCACCCGUCACGCCAUUUCAGGCUCCGAGAAGCCCAUGGCAGCCAUGCAAAGCACCUG
Molecule: long non-coding RNA, 1019 nt
Filed under: Setaria viridis
Lineage: Eukaryota; Viridiplantae; Streptophyta; Magnoliopsida; Poales; Poaceae
Description: long non-coding RNA (SVIR_LNC005603)
Source: RNAcentral